AGUGAACGCUGGCGGUAGGCCUAACACAUGCAAGUCGAACGGCAGCACAGUAAGAGCUUGCUCUUACGGUUGGCGAGUGGCGGACGGGUGAGGAAUACAUCGGCAUCUACUUUUUCGUGGGGGAUAACGUAGGGAAACUUACGCUAAUACCUCAUACGACCUACGGGUGAAAGCAGGGGAUCUUCGGACCUUGCGCGUUUGAAUGAGCCGAUGUCGGAUUAGCUAGUUGGCGGGGUAAAGGCCCACCAAGGCGACGAUCCGUAGCUGGUCUGAGAGGAUGAUCAGCCACACUGGAACUGAGACACGGUCCAGACUCCUACGGGAGGCAGCAGUGGGGAAUAUUGGACAAAGGGCGCAAGCCUGAUCCAGCCAUACCGCGUGGGUGAAGAAGGCCUUCGGGUUGUAAAGCCCUUUUGUUGGGAAAGAAAAGCAGCAGGUUAAUACCCCGCUGUUCUGACGGUACCCAAAGAAUAAGCACCGGCUAACUUCGUG
This 492-nucleotide ribosomal RNA is filed under the name uncultured bacterium. RNAcentral's name for it is "partial 16S ribosomal RNA". It matches the Rfam family "Bacterial small subunit ribosomal RNA", at positions 29 to 507 of the family's 1533-position model. The record is from RNAcentral.